CUGCUCAGGUGUGGGACCAUA
RNAcentral lists this microRNA (21 nucleotides) under Haplochromis burtoni (Burton's mouthbrooder). RNAcentral describes it as "abu-miR-10545-3p". The record is from miRBase by way of RNAcentral. Lineage: Eukaryota; Metazoa; Chordata; Actinopteri; Cichliformes; Cichlidae.